CCUACGGGUGGCAGCAGUGGGGAAUAUUGCACAAUGGGCACAAGCCUGAUGCAGCCAUGCCGCGUGUGUGAAGAAGGCCUUCGGGUUGUAAAGCACUUUCAGCGGGGAGGAAGGCGGUGAGGUUAAUAACCUCAUCGAUUGACGUUACCCGCAGAAGAAGCACCGGCUAACUCCGUGCCAGCAGCCGCGGUAAUACGGAGGGUGCAAGCGUUAAUCGGAAUUACUGGGCGUAAAGCGCACGCAGGCGGUCUGUCAAGUCGGAUGUGAAAUCCCCGGGCUCAACCUGGGAACUGCAUUCGAAACUGGCAGGCUAGAGUCUUGUAGAAGGGGGUAGAAUUCCAGGUGUAGCGGUGAAAUGCGUAGAGAUCUGGAGGAAUACCGGUGGCGAAGGCGGCCCCCUGGACAAAGACUGACGCUCAGGUGCGAAAGCGUGGGGAGCAAACAGGAUUAGAUACCCCAGUAGUC
This 465-nucleotide ribosomal RNA is filed under the name uncultured Klebsiella sp. RNAcentral describes it as "bacterial SSU rRNA". It matches the Rfam family "Bacterial small subunit ribosomal RNA", at positions 338 to 795 of the family's 1533-position model. Lineage: Bacteria; Pseudomonadati; Pseudomonadota; Gammaproteobacteria; Enterobacterales; Enterobacteriaceae. The record is from RNAcentral.